RNAcentral lists this unclassified non-coding RNA (97 nucleotides) under Pedobacter suwonensis. RNAcentral's name for it is "Flavo-1 RNA". The record is from RNAcentral. Lineage: Bacteria; Pseudomonadati; Bacteroidota; Sphingobacteriia; Sphingobacteriales; Sphingobacteriaceae.
AAUUAGCCCCGACAUACGCGGAAAUACUUUUUGUUGCAUGUUAGGCCAUACAGCAGCUACCUUGAACAAAAAGAUUGCAGCAUUGGCGGGACUACCU